AACACUGUUAACCUGCGGUACCUGCGGAGGGAUCAUCACUGAUUCGCGGGGUCUGUGUUCCUGUGUGUGCUGCGUGUAUAGCGCGCGCACAUAGCGAGCCGCCCCAAACCAAUCUUGUGUGCACCGUUUCACUGGUCAAAGGAUGACGUGUGGUGGUUGUGUGUGUUGGUGGUGUGGGAGUGCGUGCGCGCGCGCUGCCCCCACCGACUGCACGCGCCCCGUCGUUCUAAAUUUAUACAA
Molecule: unclassified non-coding RNA, 240 nt
Filed under: soil metagenome
Description: partial contains 5.8S ribosomal RNA, internal transcribed spacer 2, and large subunit ribosomal RNA
Source: RNAcentral